This is a long non-coding RNA of Hylaeus volcanicus, 2383 nucleotides long. RefSeq lists it as uncharacterized. The record is from RefSeq and is a predicted model, not a curated record. NCBI's taxonomy places the organism in Eukaryota, Metazoa, Arthropoda, Insecta, Hymenoptera, Colletidae. The transcript is spliced from 5 exons.
CAGACAAACUCGUGAAUGACGAGAUAAUAGAUACAAUUCGUUCCAUUUAUGGCACUGUUUUUAUAACGAUAUUAAAUUAUCUCUGACCGUUGAAUUGUAUCAUGUGGAUAACUCCACGUAAUACUUUGACCAUUGGACACGAUCAUUUGACUCGGUUACAAUAGUUGCCACAUCGCAGGCUUCUUGAGAACCGUUUGUUUUACAUUUCAUAAUUUUGUAGUCAGUAAAAGAAAGAAAUAUACAUGUCGAAUUGAGUAACCUCUUCCUUUUUACAAGUCGGUGAAGAAAAUGGGAGAUAUCAGCUGCCAUCCUUUGGAGGUCACCAUCAAGUGUAGCUGUUUUGCGUUCUGGAGUUGCAUUUACUUUGAAGACAUACAGGUCGAGAAGACCCACCUGUCGAUUGAACGCGUCUGGCAUGGUGAACGUGGACGUGAUCCAGCAGUAGGUGUUGAUAGGGUGCUUUGGUAGAUCCUUAACGAUACAAGAGAUCGGAUUGCCGACGUACUGCGCGGCUGUGAUCACCAUGGAACACGUGAAGAGUAGCACCGUGGUGAAGUGAUUGUGCAAUCUGAACACCAUCGAGUCGGUGGUGACUUCUUGCCACUUCAGCCGAUCGGACUGGAUCAGGGGAAGUGGUAAGAGCCACAGCUCCCGCAGGACUUCAUCAAAAGCGGUGGAACCAGGUGAAACGGUUCCGAAUGGACUCGAUUGUACGAGAUAUUCGAGUACGUCCACGCGGCGUGCCUCUCUGUCCCUUUUCUCCUUCUUCCUUUUCUUCUGCCCUACUCCUGGAUCGCCUUUUCUUUUUCUUCCAGAAGAGAAGGCGCGCGUCGCGACCGGUCACCGAACCACGCGCUCCAACGAGGUCUUCAGGAUCGGUGGGUCUCCGACGACUUUAUUCUGUUUUAUUCCGUCGCUGCCGAGUGACCAAACACACGUGUCGCCAUCGAUUCAAGGUAAACAAGGUAAGGUCGAGGUAAAUAAACGACGGCGUUAUACCCCGUGAUCGGAUUACAAACAAUCUCUUAAUCGUUAAAUUAAACCUCCAAAAUUAAAUGAAAAUUUCGAUUAUGGAACGGUGCGAUACAAUUUUUGAUUUCGAAAGAGAACUUUUUUCCUUUCCCUUGUUGAAGGUGGUCGAAGGGACUCACUGGAGGAUCACACGGAGAAGCCUGACGCGGAGUUGUGCAACAGACGGGGCCCCUGGUCCGGUGGCGUUGCAGUUGCCUCCUCCUCCUCCUUUUUUUUUUCCUGCGGAUCCUGACCGAGAGCGAAGCCGACGCGACGACGACGACGACGGGUGCGUCAGAUCGACCGAUGAGCAUGGCAAUUGAUGGCAACGGCAUGGAGAUAUUUCACAGAGAUCCCACAGGGAUUCCCGUCACGCAGGAAUACUGGAGGAAAUACGAAUCAACACUCCGGGCAUGUCUCCUGAGGCUGUUUGUCGUCCAAAGUUUCGGUAUGUUAACUCGAAACUGUACAAUUACGAACUUAAAGGGCGCCGGGCUUCUCUGAAGGAUUAGUUUCUCAUUAAGUUCAGGAUGUCUGUCGUUAAGUCGAGGAAAAUUUUGCCUCGGGGUCUGUUACGGCCCACGUUUGGGCCAGUGGUGGCCACCUGGGGCCAGUGGUGCUCAACCCCAGACGCGAGGAGAAUCUCUUGCAGAGAAUUCUCAUUUCUUUUUUGAUACCGACUCAUGGAACAACGAAGUCAUUGUACCUACUUAAGGAACAGGUUUCAGUUGAAAGGAAUUCUCGAUGCAGGCCGUUCCCCAGCGACGAACAAAGGAAAAGUUGCGACUCCUUCGUCGAGAUUUCCCGAAAGAAUUUUAGUAUUUUUUUUUUUUUUUUUUUUGCUAAAAAACAAACAUGAGGAGUCAAUUUUUUAUUUUAAAAGGAAGGUGUAAAUGAUAAGUUACCUCGAUUUUUGUGGGAUAAUGGUCCUGUUGUUUUUUUUUUUUUUUUAUCAUCGAUUUUGGCGACGCUAAUUCCGGACAGAAACGUUCGAGUAAUUCCUCGAGACGCGCCGUCGAUAACGAUAACGACCAAGAAGUUACGUAAUCGGUUUCUUUCCGUUAAUGUUAACGACACAAUCGAUUAGCGAAGAUCGCGCGUCCGGAAUAUUUGGCAAUCUGGUUAAUACGUAAGCGAAAUCGUUGAUUCUAGAUGCAAGUAAAAGGUACGCGAUGAGUUAUUAACGAAACGUGUGCACGGGAACGAGGUUAAAUUUCCCGCGCAUGCGUCGAACGUUCCAGAGGAAUCCUAACCUCUCGUACUUAGCGUUUUCAAUUAUUUCGGAGAUCUGUUUCUAAUUAAGAUUAUAAUUAGUCCGUUGUAAUUCUACUUUUUCUGGAGAAUCCAAAUCUGUAAUAAAAAAUUGGGGUUG